AACGAACGCUGGCGGCAUGCCUAACACAUGCAAGUCGAACGAGACCUUCGGGUCUAGUGGCGCACGGGUGCGUAACGCGUGGGAACCUGCCUUUAGGUUCGGAAUAACUCAGAGAAAUUUGAGCUAAUACCGGAUAAUGUCUUCGGACCAAAGAUUUAUCGCCUUUAGAUGGGCCCGCGUUGGAUUAGCUAGUUGGUGGGGUAAAGGCCUACCAAGGCGACGAUCCAUAGCUGGUCUGAGAGGAUGAUCAGCCACACUGGGACUGAGACACGGCCCAGACUCCUACGGGAGGCAGCAGUGGGGAAUAUUGGACAAUGGGCGAAAGCCUGAUCCAGCAAUGCCGCGUGAGUGAUGAAGGCCCUAGGGUUGUAAAGCUCUUUCACCGGUGAGGAUAAUGACGGUAACCGGAGAAGAAGCCCCGGCUAACUUCGUGCCAGCAGCCGCGGUAAAGUGACUACUG
RNAcentral lists this ribosomal RNA (460 nucleotides) under uncultured bacterium. Its description in RNAcentral is "bacterial SSU rRNA". It matches the Rfam family "Bacterial small subunit ribosomal RNA", at positions 29 to 532 of the family's 1533-position model. The record is from RNAcentral.